This 507-nucleotide ribosomal RNA is filed under the name uncultured bacterium. RNAcentral describes it as "bacterial SSU rRNA". It matches the Rfam family "Bacterial small subunit ribosomal RNA", at positions 19 to 518 of the family's 1533-position model. The record is from RNAcentral.
CUGGCUCAGGAUGAACGCUAGCGGCAGGCUUAACACAUGCAAGUCGAGGGGCAGCACGGGAGUAGCAAUACGUUGGUGGCGACCGGCGCGACGGGUGAGUAACGCGUAUGCAACCUACCUAUCAGAGGGGAAUAACCCGGCGAAAGUCGGACUAAUACCGCAUAAAACAGGGGCACCGCAUGGUGAUAUUUGUUAAAGAAAUUCGCUGAUAGAUGGGCAUGCGUUCCAUUAGGUAGUUGGUGAGGUAACGGCUCACCAAGCCGACGAUGGAUAGGGAACUGAGAGGUUGGUCCCCCACACUGGUACUGAGACACGGACCAGACUCCUACGGGAGGCAGCAGUGAGGAAUAUUGGUCGAUGGGCGGGAGCCUGAACCAGCCAAGUCGCGUUGAAGGAAGAAGGAUCUAUGGUUCGUAAACUUCUUUGCAGGGGAAUAAAGUGCAGGACGUGUCCUGUUUUGUAUGUACCCUGAGAAUAAGGAUCGGCUAACUCCGUGCCAGCAGCGGC